Molecule: ribosomal RNA, 491 nt
Filed under: uncultured bacterium
Lineage: Bacteria
Description: bacterial SSU rRNA
Rfam family: Bacterial small subunit ribosomal RNA
Source: RNAcentral
GUUUGAUCCUGGCUCAGGAUAAACGCUGGCGGCGCACAUAAGACAUGCAAGUCGAACGGACUUAACCAUUAGUUUUACUAUUGGAGCGGUUAGUGGCGGACUGGUGAGUAACACGUAAGCAACCUGCCUAUCAGAGGGGAACAACAGUUAGAAAUGACUGCUAAUACCGCAUAUGCCUUGAGUAUCGCAUGGUACAAAAGGGAAAGGAGCAAUCCGCUGAUAGAUGGGCUUGCGUCUGAUUAGAUAGUUGGUGUGGUAACGGCACACCAAGUCGACGAUCAGUAGCCGGACUGAGAGGUUGAACGGCCACAUUGGGACUGAGAUACGGCCCAGACUCCUACGGGAGGCAGCAGUCGGGAAUAUUGCGCAAUGGAGGAAACUCUGACGCAGUGACGCCGCGUGCAGGAAGAAGGUUUUCGGAUUGUAAACUGCUUUAGACAGGGAAGAAACAAGACAGUACCUGUAGAAUAAGCUCCGGCUAACUACGUGCC